GUUGUACGAGUUGAGACUCGUAGCGGAAAGCUCAGUAACACGUGGUCAAGCUACCCUGUAGCGACGGAUAACCUCGGGAAACUGAGGCUAAUACGUCAUAACGCUCGAGAUCUGGAGUGAUUCGAGCCGGAAACGCCUUUGGUGCUACAGGAUGCGACUGCGGUCGAUUAGGUAGACGGUGGGGUAACGGCCCACCGUGCCCAUAAUCGGUACGGGUUGUGAGAGCAAGAGCCCGGAGACGGUAUCUGAGACAAGAUACCGGGCCCUACGGGGCGCAGCAGGCGCGAAACCUUUACACUGUACGGAAGUGCGAUAGGGGGACUCCGAGUGUGUGGGCAUAGAGCUCACACUUUUGUAGACCGUAAGGUGGUCUACGAAUAAGAGCUGGGCAAGACCGGUGCCAGCCGCCGCGGUAAUACCGGCAGCUCGAGUGAUGACCGAUUUUAUUGGGCCUAAAGCGUCCGUAGCUGGCCAGGCAAGUCCGUUGGGAAAUCCACCUGCUCAACAGGUGGGCGUCCAGCGGAAACUGCUUGGCUUGGGACCGGAAGAUCCAAGGGGUACGUCCGGGGUAGGAGUGAAAUCCUGUAAUCCUGGACGGACCGCCGAUGGCGAAAGCACCUUGGAAGGACGGAUCCGACAGUGAGGGACGAAAGCUAGGGUCUCGAACCGGAUUAGAUACCCGGGUAGUCCUAGCUGUAAACGAUGUCCGCUAGGUGUGGCACAGGCUACGAGCCUGUGCUGUGC
RNAcentral lists this ribosomal RNA (744 nucleotides) under Halarchaeum sp. Its description in RNAcentral is "bacterial SSU rRNA". It matches the Rfam family "Archaeal small subunit ribosomal RNA", at positions 57 to 801 of the family's 1478-position model. The record is from RNAcentral. Lineage: Archaea; Methanobacteriati; Methanobacteriota; Halobacteria; Halobacteriales; Halobacteriaceae.